UUUUGUUUUUAUAGAGGAGAUGAGGUCACUGCUUCAUCUGGGUCCCUUUGGAGGAGAAGAGGGAUCGAGAGACUGGAGAGAAGCUUGUGAUGGAUUUGUUUGGAAAGCUGGAACAGGGAAUGCCUACUCAUCUUCCACUACUUGUCAUCCUUCCUUAUCCUGUCCGUGGGACCACAUUUGGAAGCAGUGGAGGAGAGAGUUAUCAUUAUGACAAGCGAUCAGAAAAACAAACCACAGUGUAUGGUACAUCCUACAGGAAGAUGCUCUAAAAC
Long non-coding RNA from Callorhinus ursinus (northern fur seal), 272 nucleotides. RefSeq lists it as uncharacterized. The record is from RefSeq and is a predicted model, not a curated record. NCBI's taxonomy places the organism in Eukaryota, Metazoa, Chordata, Mammalia, Carnivora, Otariidae.